AACUUGAGAGUUUGAUCCUGGCUCAGAACGAACGCUGGCGGCAUGCCUAACACAUGCAAGUCGAACGAGACCUUCGGGUCUAGUGGCGCACGGGUGCGUAACGCGUGGGAAUCUGCCCUUAGGUACGGAAUAAC
RNAcentral lists this ribosomal RNA (134 nucleotides) under Sandarakinorhabdus sp. RNAcentral's name for it is "partial 16S ribosomal RNA". It matches the Rfam family "Bacterial small subunit ribosomal RNA", at positions 1 to 147 of the family's 1533-position model. Lineage: Bacteria; Pseudomonadati; Pseudomonadota; Alphaproteobacteria; Sphingomonadales; Sphingosinicellaceae. The record is from RNAcentral.